RNAcentral lists this ribosomal RNA (791 nucleotides) under uncultured bacterium. Its description in RNAcentral is "bacterial SSU rRNA". It matches the Rfam family "Bacterial small subunit ribosomal RNA", at positions 66 to 857 of the family's 1533-position model. The record is from RNAcentral.
ACGCACCGCUUCGGUGGUGAGUGGCGAACGGGUGAGUAAUACAUAAGUAACCUGGCCUUUCGAGGGGGAUAACUAUUGGAAACGAUAGCUAAGACCGCAUAGGCAUAAUUCUCGCAUGAGAGUUAUGUUAAAUAUCCUAUGGGAUAGCGAGAGGAUGGACUUAUGGCGCAUUAGCUAGUUGGUGAGGGUAACGGCCCACCAAGGCGACGAUGCGUAGCCGACCUGAGAGGGUGGACGGCCACACUGGGACUGAGACACGGCCCAGACUCCUACGGGAGGCAGCAGUAGGGAAUUUUCGGCAAUGGGCGAAAGCCUGACCGAGCAACGCCGCGUGAGGGAGGAAGUAUUUCGGUAUGUAAACCUCUGUUAUAAAGGAAGAACGGCGCAUGUAGGGAAUGACAUGCGAGUGACGGUACUUUAUGAGAAAGCCACGGCUAACUACGUGCCAGCAGCCGCGGUAAUACGUAGGUGGCGAGCGUUAUCCGGAAUCAUUGGGCGUAAAGAGGGAGCAGGCGGCAACUAGGGUCUGCGGUAAAAGACCGAAGCUAAACUUCGGUAAGCCGUGGAAACCGAGGAGCUAAAGUGCAGUAGAGGAUCGUGGAAUUCCAUGUGUAGCGGUGAAAUGCGUAGAUAUAUGGAGGAACACCAGUGGCGAAGGCGACGAUCUGGGCUGCAACUGACGCUCAGUCCCGAAAGCGUGGGGAGCAAAUAGGAUUAGAUACCCUAGUAGUCCACGCCGUANACGAUGAGUACUAAGUGUUGGGGGUCAGACCUCAGUGNUGCAGUUAACG